Thalictrum thalictroides is the source of this 82-nucleotide non-coding RNA. NCBI's taxonomy places the organism in Eukaryota, Viridiplantae, Streptophyta, Magnoliopsida, Ranunculales, Ranunculaceae. The record is from the annotation of a GenBank genome assembly.
GUUGGGAGGAAUGUUGUCUGGCUCGAAGCUUUAGAACCUUUUGUGUUCAAUGCAUAUCGGACCAGGCUUCAUUCCUCUCAAA